GUAGCCUAGUGGUAAAGCUUCCGCCUCGUAAGCGGUAGAUCGGGGAUCAAAUCCCGGC
Molecule: transfer RNA, 58 nt
Filed under: Culex quinquefasciatus (southern house mosquito)
Lineage: Eukaryota; Metazoa; Arthropoda; Insecta; Diptera; Culicidae
Rfam family: tRNA
About the family: Transfer RNA (tRNA) molecules are approximately 80 nucleotides in length. Their secondary structure includes four short double-helical elements and three loops (D, anti-codon, and T loops).
Source: Rfam by way of RNAcentral